Molecule: ribosomal RNA, 254 nt
Filed under: uncultured bacterium
Lineage: Bacteria
Description: partial 16S ribosomal RNA
Rfam family: Bacterial small subunit ribosomal RNA
Source: RNAcentral
CACGUAGGGGGCGAGCGUUGUCCGGAUUCAUUGGGCGUAAAGAGCUCGUAGGCGGUUCGAUAAGUCGGGUGUGAAACCUCCAGGCUCAACCUGGAGACGCCACCCGAUACUGUCGUGACUAGAGUCCAGUAGGGGAGCGUGGAAUUCCUGGUGUAGCGGUGAAAUGCGCAGAUAUCAGGAGGAACACCAGCGGCGAAGGCGGCGCUCUGGGCUGGAACUGACGCUGAGGAGCGAAAGCGUGGGGAGCGAACAGG